This 576-nucleotide ribosomal RNA is filed under the name Paraburkholderia sp. RNAcentral describes it as "bacterial SSU rRNA". It matches the Rfam family "Bacterial small subunit ribosomal RNA", at positions 193 to 750 of the family's 1533-position model. The record is from RNAcentral. Lineage: Bacteria; Pseudomonadati; Pseudomonadota; Betaproteobacteria; Burkholderiales; Burkholderiaceae.
UCUUUGGAUGAAAGCGGGGGAUCGCAAGACCUCGCGCUAUUGGGGUGGCCGAUGGCGGAUUAGCUAGUUGGUGGGGUAAAGGCUCACCAAGGCGACGAUCCGUAGCUGGUCUGAGAGGACGACCAGCCACACUGGGACUGAGACACGGCCCAGACUCCUACGGGAGGCAGCAGUGGGGAAUUUUGGACAAUGGGCGAAAGCCUGAUCCAGCAAUGCCGCGUGUGUGAAGAAGGCCUUCGGGUUGUAAAGCACUUUUGUCCGGAAAGAAAUCCUUUUCGAUAAUACCGAAGGGGGAUGACGGUACCGGAAGAAUAAGCACCGGCUAACUACGUGCCAGCAGCCGCGGUAAUACGUAGGGUGCGAGCGUUAAUCGGAAUUACUGGGCGUAAAGCGUGCGCAGGCGGUGAUGUAAGACCGAUGUGAAAUCCCCGGGCUUAACCUGGGAACUGCAUUGGUGACUGCAUCGCUGGAGUAUGGCAGAGGGGGGUAGAAUUCCACGUGUAGCAGUGAAAUGCGUAGAGAUGUGGAGGAAUACCGAUGGCGAAGGCAGCCCCCUGGGCCAAUACUGACGCUCAU